Molecule: unclassified non-coding RNA, 243 nt
Filed under: Hevea brasiliensis (rubber tree)
Lineage: Eukaryota; Viridiplantae; Streptophyta; Magnoliopsida; Malpighiales; Euphorbiaceae
Source: RNAcentral
AGUCCUCAAGAAGGUUCAAGAAGUACUCUCUUUGCUGCCACUGAUCCUCAAGUUCCGGAGUACUGUGAACUACUUAAAGCAGAUAACUGGCCUGUUUGUGCGUUUCUUUCCCAAGAUUGUCGUCCAACAAAUCCUUCAGAAGAGUCGCACAACGUUGAGACUUCUUACAAACUCUGGGAGAAAACAUUGGAGAUGGUUGGUUUGCCUUUGGACGUCGUAGAGAGGCUAUUAGAAGGGGAACAA